UCGCUAUGGGAUGGCCCCGCGGUGCAUUAGCUAGUUGGUAAGGUAACGGCUUACCAAGGCAAUGAUGCAUAGCCGAGUUGAGAGACUGAACGGCCACAUUGGGACUGAGACACGGCCCAAACUCCUACGGGAGGCAGCAGUAGGGAAUCUUCCACAAUGGACGCAAGUCUGAUGGAGCAACGCCGCGUGAGUGAAAAAGGUUUUCGGAUCGUAAAGCUCUGUUGUUGGUGAAGAAGGAUAGAGGUAGUAACUGGCCUUUAUUUGACGGUAAUCAACCAGAAAGUCACGGCUAACUACGUGCCAGCAGCCGCGGUAAUACGUAGGUGGCAAGCGUUGUCCGGAUUUAUUGGGCGUAAAGCGAGCGCAGGCGGAAGAAUAAGUCUGAUGUGAAAGCCCUCGGCUUAACCGAGGAACUGCAUCGGAAACUGUUUUUCUCGAGUGCAGAAGAGGAGAGUGGAACUCCAUGUGUAGCGGUGGAAUGCGUAGAUAU
RNAcentral lists this ribosomal RNA (490 nucleotides) under uncultured bacterium. RNAcentral describes it as "bacterial SSU rRNA". It matches the Rfam family "Bacterial small subunit ribosomal RNA", at positions 215 to 697 of the family's 1533-position model. The record is from RNAcentral.